Molecule: long non-coding RNA, 1452 nt
Filed under: Gallus gallus (chicken)
Lineage: Eukaryota; Metazoa; Chordata; Aves; Galliformes; Phasianidae
Description: long non-coding RNA NONGGAT007221
Source: RNAcentral
UUUUGAGGUCUGCUGUAUCCUAGAAGCUACUGUGUCAGAUGGCAGGACAUUCCAAAAUGGUAGCUGCUAAGUCUGCAGUGAUGGAAAGGUUGAUGGACCUGAAAAUAUUUUUUUCUUUAUUAGUUUUGAUGAGCAGUAUUCUGGUGUGCUGUCCAGAAUGAGCCCAUCGUAUUCAGCAUAUUUUUGAUAUCUUAAACUUUCUGUGCUUCUGCCGAGACUGUUUUCACAGUUAAGAUGCCCUGUUGGCAGAAUAAUGGGUUAAGAAAGAAGAACUUGGAAAGAGGUACUUACGUAAGCUGAAAGGUAAGGGAUGCAAGAGGAGAGAAUAGGAAUAGAAUACAGAGAUAUGGGAGAGAAAAACAAUCAUUUAACCUGUAAUUUUUAACAGCUCUAAGGUUUACCAACCCUAUUUUAGCCAUAAGUCUGUGUUUGUGAUGUAUGCUAUAAAGGCAACUUAUAUAGCUCCUGCCUCUCCCUUUCGGUGUAUUUAUUUUUUCCACUUGGGCAAACCUUUGAUAUUUUAAACACCAGCCUUUUCCUUUGAGGUGUUCUGAAAAUCCCAUGUGUGUGCUGGGAAACGCUUCUGAUUUCUCCAGAUCCGUCUGACUGAAGUUCUGAAUCCGAUGAUCACAUUGCUAGUGUUUGACACCAUGCAGAAAUUGCUACAGAGGGGGUAGAAAAAGGAGAAUAAUUGGGCCUUUAUUUUAUACUUCCUGUCAGAAAGAAUCGACCAAACUCAGGGAGUCUAAUCCAGGUGAUAACUGCAGGAGGGAAGACUGAACUAGUUCCUGCACAUCUUUGAUGUCGGAUGCCUAAGACGGUGGAACUUCAGCAAGGGAGAAGCUGUGGAAAGUCUGUCUGCCAGCAUAAUUUGAGUGGUCGUCUGUAUCCAGUGAUUGUAACGAUGUCAUUAUUGGAAUCAAAUUUCAAGUAGUAUUUUGUGCUGUCUGUUGAGAGUUAUCUGCGUUUAUUUACCAGAAAGUAUCAUGCAUUUGUCUCUAAAUGGAAGCUGCAGGCUUUGGAGUCUGUAGAUGUCCUAAAUCCUAGCAUUAUAUGGUGACAUGCUUGUUUUCUCUGAAAUGGGAAUUGCAUUAAUGUUGUGUAAUCUCAUACGUAAUGAUUGGAUACUUUCUCAGUCACUGUUUCUAGCAACUUACCAAGAAUCUUUCAGUUGUCUUUUUUCUUCCUUCUGUCUGGGAACAUAGCUCUACCCCGCUAUUAUGUUGGCUGUAAUUAUAGGAAACACUGUGAUCGUAUGUCCUAGUCUUCUAACACUUCUUGUGUAUGUUCUGCAGGAGUUAGUGGAACUGUAUAGUGAUUAAUAACUUGAGAAGGAGUUCCUAAUUUGCCUUACAGUUUAUAAACUGCUAUCAGGCCUACAGUUGUAGGAUAAAAUAGCAGUUUUGCCAAAUGCCUUUGUGUUAGUACAGAAACACUAGGAAAAAGCAUACA